Molecule: long non-coding RNA, 339 nt
Organism: Amblyraja radiata (thorny skate)
Lineage: Eukaryota; Metazoa; Chordata; Chondrichthyes; Rajiformes; Rajidae
Exons: 3
Source: RefSeq, a predicted model, not a curated record
GGUGAAAUGGAUUGGGAGUUAGGGUGGGUGGAGAGGUCUGAGGGACGGGAUCUUGAUGCGAACGAGGGAGAGUUGUAGGAAAGUGAAGGUGAGGGUCUCGGGGAGGUGCAGGGACUGCUGUUGGAUAGAGUGGAUAGGGGAAGCAAUCCAUGGCAUGAUGGCUGUUACAGCAAGGAAUUAGUAGUUUCUGUGCUGAACUGGAAUCUCAGAGGCAGUGCCCUCAGUGGGAGAGGGCAGUGAUGGGACCUGCUUGGAGUUCCUAUCCCACAGUACACACAGCUGCAUGAGUUAGGCAUGGGAUCAGUUCAGCAAAAGAAAUUACAGCAGUGUUUAUACAUA